Molecule: ribosomal RNA, 497 nt
Filed under: uncultured bacterium
Lineage: Bacteria
Description: partial 16S ribosomal RNA
Rfam family: Bacterial small subunit ribosomal RNA
Source: RNAcentral
GAUGAACGCUGGCGGCGUGCCUAAUACAUGCAAGUCGAGCGAACAGAUGAGGAGCUUGCUCCUCUGACGUUAGCGGCGGACGGGUGAGUAACACGUGGAUAACCUACCUAUAAGACUGGGAUAACUUCGGGAAACCGGAGCUAAUACCGGAUAAUAUAUUGAACCGCAUGGUUCAAUAGUGAAAGACGGUUUUGCUGUCACUUAUAGAUGGAUCCGCGCCGCAUUAGCUAGUUGGUAAGGUCACGGCCUACCAAGGCAACGAUGCGUAGCCGACCUGAGAGGGUGAUCGGCCACACUAGAACUGAGACACGGUCCAUACUCCUACGGGAGGGAGCAGUAGGGAAUCUUCCGCAAUGGGCGAAAGCUUGACGGAGCAACGCCGCGUGAGUGAUGAAGGUCUUCGGAUCGUAAAACUCUGUUAUUAGUGAAGAACAAAUGUGUAAGUAACUAUGCACGUCUUGACGGUACCUAAUCAGAAAGCCACGGCUAACUACGUG